CCUACGGGAGGCAGCAGUAGGGAAUCUUCCACAAUGGACGAAAGCCUGAUGCAGCAACGCCGCGUGAGUGAAGAAGGGUUUCGGCUUGUAAAGCUCUGUUGGUAGUGAAGAAAGAUAGAGGUAGUAACUGGCCUUUAUUUGACCGUAAUUACUUAGACCGUCACGGCUAAUUACGUGCCAGCAGCCGCGGUAGUACGUAGGUGGGUAGCGUUGUCCGGAUUUAUUGGGCGUAAAGCGAGUGCAGGCGGCUCAAUAAGUCUGAUGUGAAAGCCUUCGGCUCAACCGGGGAAUUGCAUCGGGAACUGUUGAGCGUGAGUGCAGAAGAGGAAGGUGGAACUCCAUGUGUAGCGGUGGAAUGCGUAGAUAUAAGGAAGAACACCAGUGGCGAAGGCGGCUCUCUGGACUGCAACUGACGCUGAGGCUCGAAAGCAUGGGUAGCGAACAGGAUUAGAUACCCGAGUAGUC
Molecule: ribosomal RNA, 465 nt
Filed under: uncultured bacterium
Lineage: Bacteria
Description: partial 16S ribosomal RNA
Rfam family: Bacterial small subunit ribosomal RNA
Source: RNAcentral